AAUCCAUAGGUUAAUGAGGCGAACCGGGGGAACUGAAACAUCUAAGUACCCCGAGGAAAAGAAAUCAACCGAGAUUCCCCCAGUAGCGGCGAGCGAACGGGGAGGAGCCCAGAGCCUGAAUCAGCAUGUGUGUUAGUGGAAGCGUCUGGAAAGGCGCGCGAUACAGGGUGACAGCCCCGUACACAAAAGCGCAUGUGCUGUGAGCUCGAUGAGUAGGGCGGGACACGUGGUAUCCUGUCUGAAUAUGGGGGGACCAUCCUCCAAGGCUAAAUACUCCUGACUGACCGAUAGUGAACCAGUACCGUGAGGGAAAGGCGAAAAGAACCCCGGCGAGGGGAGUGAAAAAGAACCUGAAACCGUGUACGUACAAGCAGUGGGAGCACAGGUUUACCUGUGUGACUGCGUACCUUUUGUAUAAUGGGUCAGCGACUUAUAUUCUGUAGCAAGGU
Molecule: ribosomal RNA, 449 nt
Filed under: Salmonella enterica
Lineage: Bacteria; Pseudomonadati; Pseudomonadota; Gammaproteobacteria; Enterobacterales; Enterobacteriaceae
Also listed under: 2 other names
Description: partial 23S ribosomal RNA
Rfam family: Bacterial large subunit ribosomal RNA
Source: RNAcentral